UUGGUAGCCUUCCAUGCUGCACCGAUAGAAGGCGGAUUGGUCGGAAUCCACUCGGAGCGCCACCGCUUGGUGGUUCUGUCCUCCAGCCGUAUUACUAAAUGUCAUGUCCCUUGCUAUGAAUCCUUUGCCAGAGACAGCUACAACACAAAAAUUCAUGAGGCAUGAUAAUACUAUAAAUACAUUUUACCUGUCAAUCAUUUCUAAUGCAUACUUAUCAAAA
Molecule: unclassified non-coding RNA, 220 nt
Filed under: Hevea brasiliensis (rubber tree)
Lineage: Eukaryota; Viridiplantae; Streptophyta; Magnoliopsida; Malpighiales; Euphorbiaceae
Source: RNAcentral